RNAcentral lists this ribosomal RNA (866 nucleotides) under uncultured bacterium. RNAcentral describes it as "bacterial SSU rRNA". It matches the Rfam family "Bacterial small subunit ribosomal RNA", at positions 588 to 1455 of the family's 1533-position model. The record is from RNAcentral.
UNUGGAGUAAAAGGCUAUGGCCCAACCAUAGUGUGCUCUGGAAACUGUCUGACUUGAGUGCAGAAGGGGAGAGUGGAAUUCCAUGUGUAGCGGUGAAAUGCGUAGAUAUAUGGAGGAACACCAGUGGCGAAAGCGGCUCUCUGGUCUGUCACUGACGCUGAGGCUCGAAAGCGUGGGUAGCGAACAGGAUUAGAUACCCUGGUAGUCCACGCCGUAAACGAUGAGUGCUAGGUGUUAGGCCCUUUCCGGGGCUUAGUGCCGGAGCUAACGCAAUAAGCACUCCGCCUGGGGAGUACGACCGCAAGGUUGAAACUCAAAGGAAUUGACGGGGGCCCGCACAAGCGGUGGAGCAUGUGGUUUAAUUCGAAGCAACGCGAAGAACCUUACCAGGUCUUGACAUCCCGAUGCUAUUCUUAGAGAUAGGAAGUUACUUCGGUACAUCGGAGACAGGUGGUGCAGGUUGUCGUCAGCUCGUGUCGUGAGAUGUUGGGUUAAGUCCCGCAACGAGCGCAACCCUUAUUGUUAGUUGCCAUCAUUAAGUUGGGCACUCUAGCGAGACUGCCGGUAAUAAACCGGAGGAAGGUGGGGAUGACGUCAAAUCAUCAUGCCCCUUAUGACCUGGGCUACACACGUGCUACAAUGGUCGGUACAACGAGUUGCGAGCCGGUGACGGCAAGCUAAUCUCUGAAAGCCGAUCUCAGUUCGGAUUGGAGGCUGCAACUCGCCUCCAUGAAGUCGGAAUCGCUAGUAAUCGCGGAUCAGCACGCCGCGGUGAAUACGUUCCCGGGCCUUGUACACACCGCCCGUCACACCACGAGAGUUUGUAACACCCGAAGUCGGUGAGGUAACCUUUUAGGGGCCAGCCG